Molecule: ribosomal RNA, 484 nt
Filed under: uncultured bacterium
Lineage: Bacteria
Description: partial 16S ribosomal RNA
Rfam family: Bacterial small subunit ribosomal RNA
Source: RNAcentral
AUUGAACGCUGGCGGCAGGCCUAACACAUGCAAGUCGAGCGGAUGAAGGGAGCUUGCUCCUGGAUUCAGCGGCGGACGGGUGAGUAAUGCCUAGGAAUCUGCCUGGUAGUGGGGGAUAACGUCCGGAAACGGGCGCUAAUACCGCAUACGUCCUGAGGGAGAAAGUGGGGGAGCUUCGGACCUCACGCUAUCAGAUGAGCCUAGGUCGGAUUAGCUAGUUGGUGGGGUAAAGGCCUACCAAGGCGACGAUCCGUAACUGGUCUGAGAGGAUGAUCAGGCACACUGGAACUGAGACACGGUCCAGACUCCUACGGGAGGCAGCAGUGGGGAAUAUUGGACAAUGGGCGAAAGCCUGAUCCAGCCAUGCCGCGUGUGUGAAGAAGGUCUUCGGAUUGUAAAGCACUUUAAGUUGGGAGGAAGGGCAGUAAGUUAAUACCUUGCUGUUUUGACGUUACCAACAGAAUAAGCACCGGCUAACUUCGUG